CACGUCAGCGCGAUGUCAGGGUAUGCGCCAGGAAAUCGCGUCCACGUUAGUGGACGCGAUUUCCUGGCGCGUACCCUGACAUCGCGCUGACGUGG
This is a non-coding RNA of Gossypium hirsutum (cotton), 95 nucleotides long. Lineage: Eukaryota; Viridiplantae; Streptophyta; Magnoliopsida; Malvales; Malvaceae. The record is from Rfam.